GGAGCCCCACGGGACGCAGCAGUAGGGAAUAUUGCUCAAUGGGGGAAACCCUGAAGCAGCAACGCCGCGUGGAGGAUGAAGGUUUUCGGAUUGUAAACUCCUUUUGUUAGAGAAGAUAAUGACGGUAUCUAACGAAUAAGCACCGGCUAACUCCGUGCCAGCAGCCGCGGUAAUACGGAGGGUGCAAGCGUUACUCGGAAUCACUGGGUGUAAAGGGCGUGCAGCCGGGAAGACAAGUCAGAUGUGAAAUCCCGCGGCUCAACCGCGGAACUGCAUUUGAAACUGUUUUUCUUGAGUACCGGAGA
RNAcentral lists this ribosomal RNA (305 nucleotides) under uncultured bacterium. RNAcentral's name for it is "bacterial SSU rRNA". It matches the Rfam family "Bacterial small subunit ribosomal RNA", at positions 333 to 655 of the family's 1533-position model. The record is from RNAcentral.